Molecule: unclassified non-coding RNA, 298 nt
Organism: Macaca fascicularis (crab-eating macaque)
Lineage: Eukaryota; Metazoa; Chordata; Mammalia; Primates; Cercopithecidae
Rfam family: Metazoan signal recognition particle RNA
About the family: The signal recognition particle (SRP) is a universally conserved ribonucleoprotein. It is involved in the co-translational targeting of proteins to membranes.
Source: Ensembl
GCUGGGUGUAGUGGUCUGCUUGUAGUUCCAGCUACUUGGGAGGCUGAGGGAGGAGGAUCGCUUGAGUCCAGGAAUUCUGUGUUGUAGUGUGCUAUGCCUAUCAGUUGUCUGCACUAAGUUUGUCAUCAAUUUCAUGUCCUCCUGGGAAUAGGAGACCAACAGGUUCCCUAAGAAGAGGUGAACCAGCCUAAGUUGGAAACGGAGCAAGUCAAAACUGCCGUACUGGUCAGUAGUGGGAUCUCACCCGUAAAGAGCUACUGCAUUCCAGCCUGGGCAACAUAGUGAGAUCCUGUCUGUA